This 464-nucleotide ribosomal RNA is filed under the name uncultured bacterium. Its description in RNAcentral is "partial 16S ribosomal RNA". It matches the Rfam family "Bacterial small subunit ribosomal RNA", at positions 29 to 507 of the family's 1533-position model. The record is from RNAcentral.
ACGAACGCUGGCGGCGUGCUUAACACAUGCACGUCGAACGGAAAGGCCCUGCUUGCAGGGUACUCGAGUGGCGAACGGGUGAGUAACACGUGAGUGAUCUGCCCUGCACUUCGGGAUAAGCCUGGGAAACUGGGUCUAAUACCGGAUAGGAGCCAUUUUUAGUGUGAUGGUUGGAAAGUUUUUUCGGUGUAGGAUGAGCUCGCGGCCUAUCAGCUUGUUGGUGGGGUAAUGGCCUACCAAGGCGGCGACGGGUAGCCGGCCUGAGAGGGUGGACGGCCACAUUGGGACUGAGAUACGGCCCAGACUCCUACGGGAGGCAGCAGUGGGGAAUAUUGCACAAUGGGCGCAAGCCUGAUGCAGCGACGCCGCGUGGGGGAUGACGGCCUUCGGGUUGUAAACUCCUUUCGCUAGGGACGAAGCUUUUUGUGACGGUACCUAGAUAAGAAGCACCGGCUAACUACGUG